GAUGAACGCUAGCGGCAGGCUUAAUACAUGCAAGUCGAGGGGGAUUAUUUUUGUAGCAAUACAGAGAUAUGAGACCGGCAAACGGGUGCGGAACACGUACGCAACCUUCCCAAAACUGGUGAAUAGCCCUCCGAAAGGAGGAUUAAUACACCGUAACAUAAUGAAGUGGCAUCACUUUAUUAUUAUAGCUCCGGCGGUUUUGGAUGGGCGUGCGCCUGAUUAGGUAGUUGGCGGGGUAACGGCCCACCAAGCCUGCGAUCAGUAACUGGUGUGAGAGCACGACCAGUCACACGGGCACUGAGACACGGGCCCGACUCCUACGGGAGGCAGCAGUAAGGAAUAUUGGUCAAUGGACGAAAGUCUGAACCAGCCAUGCCGCGUGAAGGAUGAAGGCCCUCUGGGUUGUAAACUUCUUUUAUCUGGGACGAAAAAAGACGAUUCUUCGUCACUUGACGGUACCAGAGGAAUAAGCACCGGCUAACUCCGUGCCAGCAGCCGCGGUAA
RNAcentral lists this ribosomal RNA (504 nucleotides) under uncultured bacterium. RNAcentral's name for it is "partial 16S ribosomal RNA". It matches the Rfam family "Bacterial small subunit ribosomal RNA", at positions 28 to 523 of the family's 1533-position model. The record is from RNAcentral.